UUCACCAAAAAAUUACAAAUUGAUCGUCUUUUUUUGUCUGUCCAUCCAUCAGACAUAAUGGUACAACAUGUUCUCUUCCAUUCAUCCUUAUACUCUUCAAGUUCUAUAUCAGUUCUGUCUACGACUUGUUUCAAAAGCUUCUCUCUAAUAUCAUGAUAUGUUGGAGGUUUAUAGCCAACACCAUAUCUACCAAUCAUGUCACACAUCUUUGCAAAAGCUGGAUUUCUAAUAACAUUGAAUGGGAUGGCAC
This 250-nucleotide long non-coding RNA is filed under the name Phaseolus vulgaris (common bean). RNAcentral describes it as "long non-coding RNA (PVUL_LNC004004)". The record is from RNAcentral. Lineage: Eukaryota; Viridiplantae; Streptophyta; Magnoliopsida; Fabales; Fabaceae.